AUUGAAACACCAGUUCUCAUCCGAUCACCAAAGUUAAGCAGCAUUGAACCUAGUCAAUACCUGGAUGGGUGAUCACUUGCGAAUACCCAGUGCUAUA
Acanthosepion pharaonis is the source of this 97-nucleotide non-coding RNA. The record is from the annotation of a GenBank genome assembly. NCBI's taxonomy places the organism in Eukaryota, Metazoa, Mollusca, Cephalopoda, Sepiida, Sepiidae.